RNAcentral lists this transfer RNA (62 nucleotides) under Grandidierella japonica. RNAcentral describes it as "tRNA-Tyr". It matches the Rfam family "tRNA". From Rfam's summary of the family: Transfer RNA (tRNA) molecules are approximately 80 nucleotides in length. Their secondary structure includes four short double-helical elements and three loops (D, anti-codon, and T loops). Further hydrogen bonds mediate the characteristic L-shaped molecular structure. tRNAs have two regions of fundamental functional importance: the anti-codon, which is responsible for specific mRNA codon recognition, and the 3' end, to which the tRNAs corresponding amino acid is attached (by aminoacyl-tRNA synthetases). tRNAs cope with the degeneracy of the genetic code in two manners: having more than one tRNA (with a specific anti-codon) for a particular amino acid; and 'wobble' base-pairing, i.e. permitting non-standard base-pairing at the 3rd anti-codon position. The record is from RNAcentral. Lineage: Eukaryota; Metazoa; Arthropoda; Malacostraca; Amphipoda; Corophiidae.
GACUAAGUAGUUUAUACAAAACAUUGGCCUGUAAAGCUAAAAAAAAGUGCUUUUUUUAGUCA